RNAcentral lists this small RNA (100 nucleotides) under Pan troglodytes (chimpanzee). RNAcentral describes it as "processed transcript". Lineage: Eukaryota; Metazoa; Chordata; Mammalia; Primates; Hominidae. The record is from RNAcentral.
CUUACCUCUUUGAUCUCGACAAUAAGCAGCCACCAGACCACGGAAUAAAUCUUAUACCUGGAGAAUAGGGCACCAGGCAGCCGUCUUCAUAGCAGUGGCC